AGUGAACGCUGGCGGCAGGCCUAACACAUGCAAGUCGAGCGGCAGCGCGUCCGACCACCCUCGGGUGGUCGGAUGGCGGCGAGCGGCGGACGGGUGAGGAAUGCAUCGGAAUCUGCCUCGUUGUGGGGGAUAACGUAGGGAAACUUACGCUAAUACCGCAUACGACCUACGGGUGAAAGUGGGGGGACCUUCGGGCCUCACGCGACUGAGAUGAGCCGAUGCCGGAUUAGCUAGUUGGCGGGGUAAAGGCCCACCAAGGCGACGAUCCGUAAGCUGGUCUGAGAGGAUGAUCAGCCAACACUGGAACUGAGACACGGUCCAGACUCCUACGGGAGCAGCAGUGGGGAAUAUUGGACAAUGGGGGCAACCCUGAUCCAG
RNAcentral lists this ribosomal RNA (378 nucleotides) under uncultured bacterium. RNAcentral's name for it is "bacterial SSU rRNA". It matches the Rfam family "Bacterial small subunit ribosomal RNA", at positions 30 to 391 of the family's 1533-position model. The record is from RNAcentral.